Molecule: ribosomal RNA, 253 nt
Filed under: uncultured bacterium
Lineage: Bacteria
Description: partial 16S ribosomal RNA
Rfam family: Bacterial small subunit ribosomal RNA
Source: RNAcentral
UACGUAGGGAGCAAGCGUUGUUCGGAUUUACUGGGCGUAAAGGGCGCGUAGGCGGCUUGACAAGUCACUUGUGAAAUCUCCGGGCUUAACUCGGAACGGCCAAGUGAAACUGUCAUGCUAGAGUGCAGAAGGGGCAAUCGGAAUUCUUGGUGUAGCGGUGAAAUGCGUAGAUAUCAAGAGGAACACCUGAGGUGAAGACGGGUUGCUGGGCUGACACUGGCGCUGAGGCGCGAAAGCCAGGGGAGCAAACGGG